GAGCCGCGGCGCUGGGGUGAAACGCGACGCCUCGAAGCGAGCUCAAGUGAGCGCAGGAAGAAAGGAAGAGCCCGAGACCGAACACAACGAGCGGGGGGCAUCGGAAGGGAGCGCGGCAGGAGGGGCGGGAAAAGGACCCCAACAGUUUCUUACGGCGUGCCGUGCAGGGUUGGAGGUGCAGACCCGAAGCCUACCUGUGAGACGCUGCCUCCUGCCGGUAGAAUUCUGGAGCCCUGACACCUGUGGAACCUACCGUAUCAAUCCCCCCCUGGCCAUACUAACAGCGUUAGUUAGGAGAAAGGCCUUCCGUUUGAUGUGAUACCAAUUGCACAGCUCCUGGUGUUCAGCACGUGAACUUCGCAGAAACAAGUCUUUCCGGCAGCAAGGCAUAAUCGCGAGUAUUACUGGUCCUAACCCACUGAGCUCCACCAGCCCGUGUUAGGGCAUUUCAAACCGGCAACCAGCAAUCCACGGGCCUGGAGAGACCUAGGAUCUUUUGGGGAAUCUUGGGGCUUCCCUGGUGGCUCAGUAGUAACGAAUCCACGUGCAAAUGCAGGACACACAGGUUCGAUCCCUGCUCUGUGAAGACUGCACAUGCUGCAGAAAAACUAAGUCCCUACACCGCAACUACUGAGCCUGAGCCGGUGCCCUGCGGCCCAGGAGGAAGAGCAGCCGCCAUCCAAGCCAGUGCACCGCGACUAGAGAGGCGCUCCUGCUGACCGCAACUAGAGAGAAGCCCCUGCAGCAAGGAAGACCCGGCGCAGUCAAACAUAGAUACAUAAAAAUAAAGGGGAACCUUCUUUUCCUUAUCUCGAAAAAAUAUUGUCAAAAUACUGAUGGAUCAUCCAGAGUUUUGUUUUUCAUAAAUGUGUCUUAAUGAAUUUUUAAAAAAAUCUGAACAAGCAGUAUGAUUUUUUUGUUUGUUUGUUUUUCUCCAUCUAAACAACAGACAUUUAUUUCUCAGUUGUGGAGGCUGGGGAUUCCAAGGUCAAGGUGCUUCUGAUUCGGGUCUGAGGGCACCUGCUUCCUGGUUCAUGGAAGGUGAGAAUAAGCAGUAUGAUUUAAAUAGUUUAUUUCAUGAGCUCUAAAUGAGUACCACCGGGCCCUUGGAACUGCAUGACCGCAAUAUUUUAUUUUUCAUUGACCUUCCAACUUAUCUCCAGAUUCAUGGCCCAUUCUUAUUAAAUCUCUUUUGCUCAAUCAAAUCAAAUCUUUAAGUUGAGUAUGAACUUACAUAUAUGCUAAGAGAGCCUUGCUCCCUGCUUACGUACGUGAGAGAAAACCUAUCUGUGGGAGUGCUGAUGUGUCACGGCUGCCUAAAACGUGGCAGCUGGCGUCUGUAAACUGCUCAGUGACCAUCAGAUGCAACCUUUGAAACGAGUGGCAAAUGCCUUUUUAUGGGGUGAGAAGCACUGGCACUUUGAAUUCCAUCUUUGAGUGUCGUGAGCAGUCAUUCAUGUAAGGUUUGUAUACAUGUAAGUUCUCCACUCUUCAGUUUCCAGAUGUAACUAAAGGAAAGUACAUUCUCAUUACCACCUCAGCAACCACCAGAACAAACACUUACUGUCUGUAUAGUAUGUGUGGGUCAUUGCCCCAGGCUCUCCAGGGUUUUCAGUUCAUAGAUUAAUCAUUUUAUCUUCAAUUCGUUUGUCUCUGUGGGAACAAACUCGAUGUCUUUCAUAAAGAAUCAAUCAGUAUUUGUUAAAGAAACGUUGAUGU
This is a long non-coding RNA of Bubalus bubalis (water buffalo), 1719 nucleotides long. RefSeq lists it as uncharacterized. The transcript is spliced from 3 exons. The record is from RefSeq and is a predicted model, not a curated record. NCBI's taxonomy places the organism in Eukaryota, Metazoa, Chordata, Mammalia, Artiodactyla, Bovidae.